Molecule: ribosomal RNA, 27 nt
Filed under: Tintinnopsis sp.
Lineage: Eukaryota; Ciliophora; Spirotrichea; Tintinnida; Codonellidae
Description: partial large subunit ribosomal RNA
Source: RNAcentral
AGCAUCUGAGAUGAAGUAGGACCACCC